This 406-nucleotide ribosomal RNA is filed under the name uncultured bacterium. RNAcentral's name for it is "partial 16S ribosomal RNA". It matches the Rfam family "Bacterial small subunit ribosomal RNA", at positions 28 to 526 of the family's 1533-position model. The record is from RNAcentral.
GACGAACGCUGGCGGCGCGCUUAACACAUGCAAGUCGAGCGAAGCGGCGGACGGGUGAGUAACACGUGCGUAACCUGCCUUAGACAUUGGGCUAGCCUCGGGAAACCGGGAUUAAUACCAACUGGUCUAAGGUGGGCUCGCGUCCCAUUAGCUAGUUGGUGGGUAACGGCCCACCCAGGCGACGAUGGGUAGCCGGCAUGGGGGGGUGAACCGCAACAUUGGAACUGAGAAACGGUCCAAACCCUACGGGAGGCAGCAGUUGGGAAUAUUGCACAAUGGAGGGAGCUCGGAUGCAGCGACGCCGCGUGAACGAAGAAGGCUUUCGAGUCGUAAAGUUCUUUUAUAUGGGAAGCGGUACCAUAAGAAAAAGCCCCGGCUAACUACGUGCCAGCAGCCGCGGUAAUUC